RNAcentral lists this unclassified non-coding RNA (576 nucleotides) under Hevea brasiliensis (rubber tree). The record is from RNAcentral. Lineage: Eukaryota; Viridiplantae; Streptophyta; Magnoliopsida; Malpighiales; Euphorbiaceae.
UCGUUUCUCUUCUUCUCCUUCCCUCACUACCUCAGCUACCUUCAAUCUCUAUGGUUUGUGCUUGAUGUCGCUUUCCAUUGUCACCCCUUCCCCCACUUCUCCUUCUCCCUUACUACCUCAGAACCAUCUCCCUCCUCACUCCCUCAAAUCCAUCCCCCUCACUCCCUCACAGUCACAACAAAGCACCGAGCGUCACCAUCCAUCAUGUGGUGAACAAGUUCCAAUGACUUUGAUCUUCGCUCUUUAUGUUAUUGUUCUGCUUCAAUGAAAGUGGUAAGCGACUCCCUCAUCUUGACUCUCCAUGUGGUGGUUGUGGACUAGAAGAUGAAGUGUUGAUUGAGAAGAAAAUGGAUCUCGCAAGGGAGUCUAUUGUUUAUCCAUUGCAUUGCAUGUUCCCUUUGUGGGUUUUAAAUUCUGAAUUAGAUUUUCUACCCAUUGCAUAUGUAAUUGAGUGACUGAGCCUUUGUGUCUUUGGGUGGAAACGAUAAUUGUUGAUGAAAUUUGGUAGUUGUUGAGAUUUAUUUGUUUAUUGAUGAGAUUUGCUUGAUAUUAAUCUUCAAACUAUGAUUUUAUGAA